AGGAGAAAAGGGCAAAUUCAUUGAAAAAUGAGGACGCAAAGCUAGAGGGGCUAAAGUCAUUUGAUCAUGCCAGCCAGCUGCCGAA
This 85-nucleotide non-coding RNA is filed under the name Bacillus sp. (in: firmicutes). Its description in RNAcentral is "Bacillus sp. c-di-GMP sequence". It matches the Rfam family "c-di-GMP-I riboswitch aptamer". Rfam says of the family: GEMM was predicted in a large-scale screen for bacterial structured RNA regulatory elements. Genes associated with GEMM are involved in a diverse array of functions, including chemotaxis regulation, signal transduction, secretion and chitin. The record is from RNAcentral. RNAcentral also lists the same sequence under 1 other name. Lineage: Bacteria; Bacillati; Bacillota; Bacilli; Caryophanales; Bacillaceae.